UGGCUCUGGCAUCGAUGAAGAACGCAGCGAAAUGCGAUAAGUAAUGUGAAUUGCAGAAUUCCGUGAAUCAUCGAAUCUUUGAACGCACAUUGCGCCCCCUGGUAUUCCGGGGGGCAUGCCUGUCUGAGCGUUAUUACGCACCUUAAGCUCUGCUUAGCACUAGGCCACGCCGCCGGCGGGCCCUAAAUCCGGCAGCAGACCCUGCGGCGCCUAAGCGUAGUCAUGUCCCGCUCUAGGCGCCUGCGAGGCCGGCUGUGAGCCAUCUGUUUGACCUCAGAUCAGGUAGGAAUACCCGCUGA
This 299-nucleotide unclassified non-coding RNA is filed under the name uncultured fungus. Its description in RNAcentral is "partial contains 5.8S ribosomal RNA and internal transcribed spacer 2". The stretch from base 1 to 133 matches the Rfam family "5.8S ribosomal RNA", at positions 22 to 154 of the family's 154-position model. The record is from RNAcentral. Lineage: Eukaryota; Fungi.